This 4167-nucleotide long non-coding RNA is filed under the name Homo sapiens (human). RNAcentral's name for it is "non-protein coding lnc-CDR2-8:2". Lineage: Eukaryota; Metazoa; Chordata; Mammalia; Primates; Hominidae. The record is from RNAcentral.
ACACGCGAGAAGGGCGGGACCGGGUCCAGAGGCAGGAGCAAGGACAGACCCAAAAGGAGAAGCCAAAGGAUGGAGUCUUGUGCUGUCACCCAGGCUGGAGUACAAUGGUGUGGUCUCAGCACACUGCAACCUCCACCUUCCAGGUUCAAGCGACUCUUCUGCCUCAGCAUCCCGAGUAGCUGGGACUACAGGUAUGUGCCACCACACCCAGCUAAUUUUUGUAUUUUUAGUAGAGACAGGAUUUCACUGCGUUGGCCAGGCUGGUCUCAAACUCCUGACCUCAGGUUAUCCACCCGCCUCAGCCUCCCAAAGUGCUGGGAACAAGUGUGAGCCACCGUGCCCGACUGGACUGGAAGGAUUUUUGCAAAUAACCUCAAAUACCACCGAUUACUUUGCUAUUUACAAUCUGUGAUGAAAACAUCCUCUCUUUUAACUAAGCAAAUAUAAACCUGCAUCAUCAUUAUUAUGAGAAUAGUAUUCUGAGCCAGGCAUGGUGGUGCAUGCCUGUAAUCUCAGCUAUUUAGAAGGCUGAGGGGGGAGAAUCUUUUUUUUUUUUUUUGGUUUUUAGGGGCAGGAUCUCCAUCUGUUGCCUAGGCUGGAGUACAGUGGUGCAAUCUGCAGCCUUGAACUCCUGGGCUCAAGUAAUCCCCCACCUGAGCUGGGACUAAAGGCAUGCACCACCUUGCCUGGCUAAUUUUAAAAUUUUUUGUAGAGAUGAGGUCUUGCUAUGUUGCCCAGGCUGGUCUCAAACUCCUGGCCUCAAGUGAUCCUCCUGUCUCAGCCUCCCAAAGCACUGGGAUUAUAGGUGCGAGCCACCACACCUGGCCAAGAGGAUCUCUUGAGCUCAGGAGUUUGAAACCAGCCUGGACAAUAUAGUGAGACCCUGUCUCAUAAAAAUAAUUAUAUUCUGUAUGUAGUAGGUACUUAAUAUAUACUCAUUAUUCAGUAAGCAUGAACUAUGAGCCUAGGACCACCAGGCUGUUGUGUGUGUGUAUGUAUGUGUUGAGAGUUGGUGGGAUUGGUAGCAUUCAAAGAAGUGAAUGGCCUGAAACUUGCCUUUGGGAACCUCCAGUCUGGCUGGAAAGACAAGAUGCUUAUGAAUGAAGAAACAGUGAUGAUGGAUAGGCUUGGAGCUGUCACAUUUCAGACCCAGAAAGCACAGCCUCAGCAAAAGCCCAGAGGUUGGGGUGAUCAUAACAGAGCUAGCACCAGCUUUGGGCCCACAUGGAAAGUUCUGAGACUUCAGACAAGCAUGUGUCAUCAUGGUGUCAAAGGGGUAAGGAGUGGCAGCAGUGGGGAUGGUGGGGAGAGGUAGGAAGGGAGGGAUGGGGAGCAGGGCCUAGGUCCCAUAACAGCAGCCCACUUACCUCACUACGAGUGAGCAGCGGUGGGAGGCUGCAGAUGGGUCUCAGGGCCAGAUGGAGGCGCUCCAUAACUGCUGCUGCAGGGAAGGAGGGGGCCAGUGACCAGGGGCCUCACAUUAUGCAAACUCCAGGGAGGCCCUUGGGGACAAAUCAAUGGGGGACACCAUUUGCUUUGCUAGAGGUCACUUUGCAGAAGUCACUGGAUUCCUUUAAAUCAGCAGCCCUUGCUGGGGUGCCUUGUUUAGCUGUGAAAUAUGUCACAAGUAACUUGUUUUUAAUAUUAAAUGACCAGGCUGGGUGCAGUGGCUCAAGCCUGUAAUCCCAGCACUUUGGGAGGCUGAGGCGGGCGGAUUGCCUGAGAUCAGGAGUUCGAGACCAGGCUGGUCAACAUGGUGAAACCCUGUCUCUACUACAAAUACAAAAAUUAGCCGGGCGUGGUGGCACAUGCCUGUAAUCCCAGCUACUGGGGAGGCUGAGGCAGGAGAAUCGCUUGUACCCAGGACGCAGAGAUUGCAGUGAGCUGAGAUUGCACCACUGCACUCCAGGCUGGGCAACAUAAUAAGACUCCGUCAGAAAAAAAAAAAAAAUUGAACGACUGAAGUUUUUAAAUAAAUCUGAACAGAUUCAAAGUUAUCCAUAUAAUAAUCUCUCUCUCACUUCUACUCCAAUGCUCUCUGGAGUAGGAGAGAAAGAGGUUGGAGUAACAGUUCUCAAACUGGGCUGCAUGUGGGACCAAUUUAAAAAUAAUACUUGUGAGAACCAGGUGUGGUGGCUCAUGCCUGUAAUCCCAGCAUAAGAGACUGAGGAGGGAGGAUCUCUUGGAGCCAGGAGUUCAAGACCAGCCUAGACAACAAAGUGAGACGCCCUCAUCUCUAAAAAAUUUUUGAAAAUAGCCAGGCAUGGAGGUGCAUGCCUGUUACCUCCACUACUCUGGAGGCUGAAGUGGGAGGAUCGCUUCAGGCCAGGAGUUCGAUACCAGCUGGGGUAACAUAGCAAGACCCCCAUCUCUACUAAAGUAUAAAAAUUAGCUGGGCCUGGUGGUAGGAGCCUGUAGUCCUAGAGGCUUGAGAGGCUGAGGCAGAGAAUUGCUUGAGCCCAGGAGGUUGAGUCUGCAGUGAGUUAUGAUCAUGCCACUGCACUCCAGCCUGGGUGGCAGUGCAAGACCCUAACUCUAAAAAAAUAAAAAAUACUGAUGCUUUCCUCCCACUUCCUCCCUGCUAAUCCCAAUUUAAUUGGUCGGUAGUGUGGCUGAGACAUUUCUCUAUUUUAAAAGCUCCCAGGUGACUGUGCAGUGCAGCCCUGGUUGAGAAGCACUGAAUUACUGUUAGCCCACUGGGAACUGGGAACGCCUUUACAAUCCUCUCCAAGUGCCAUCGGCCGUGGCUCAGGGCCGGGAGUACCAAUCACUGCGGCAAUGCUGUGCAUGAGAAGUUGCCCUGCAUGUGUUCCCUGGUGAACAAAAAUUUGCAACCCCCUGCUUUUAAUGGCAAGCCACUCGAUGCAUUUAAAACACAAGAGAUCCUGCCAAGGAGUCCCUGGAACACAGCUAUUUGGGACUGGAGGGCCACCAUCCCCUCAGGCUGGUCACUCCAUGUCUGAAGGCUGCUCUGCCUUCCAGCUGGGAGGAGGCCAUUGUAUGGGUGCUGGGGACAGAGGGAAGGGGAGCAGCCAAGACGCAUUGUCGGGGGUGGAGGUGGGAGCAGAGACUGACCUUCAGGGACAGGAGGAGAAUCUAGGAUCAAAAUGGAGCCUCCGUUUGUCCUAAAGUAGCCCUAACUUCAGGGUGACCUUGGGGGACAGAACAGCCCCAGGGUUCUCUCUCCUCCUGACUGGCAUGAGACCUCCCAGCAGCACCACAAAGAGCCCACCAAGCCCAGUUGUGAAUUCCGCCUCUCCGCCUCUCCCGCAUUCUCACUGUGGCACUUUGAGAAAGUCACUAACCUCUCAGAGCCUCGGGUCACCUCAUCUUUACAAUGGGCCCAUCAUAGCUGCCUUGCAGGUGGGACUAGGGUGAGGGAAGUGAGACACCUAGGGUGUGGAAUUUAAGGAGGCACUUGCUUCCGGCACCAGACAAGUGCAAACUCAGGCUUGGAGCUGCUGCGUGGCCUCCUUAAAUUUUGUGACCACAGUGCCUCACUGUCCUCACCCUAGUCCUGGUCCUGCCUGAGUUUCUUUUUCUUUUCUUGUUUUUCUUUUGAGACAGAGUCUCACUCUGUCACCCAGUCUGGAGUGCAGUGGCGGGAUCUCGGCUCACUGCAACCUCUGCCUCCUGGGUUACAGCAAUUCUCCUGCCUCAGCCUCCCAGGGAGCUGGGAAUACAGGCGUGCGCCACCACACCCGGCUGAUUUUUGUAUUUUUAGUAGAGAUGGGGUUUCACUGUGUUGGCCAGACUGGUCUGGAACUGCUGAUCUCAGGUGAUCUGCCUGCCUCAGCCUCCCAAAGUGCUAGGAUUACAGGCGUGAGCCACCGUGCCUGGCCCCUGAGUUUCAAUUAAGGCAAUGCAAGGUACACCUGGCACAUGGAGGGCUUUACUACGCACACUCCUUUCCUUACCUGUCAGGUAAACCCAGGAAGUAGGCACCUGGAUCCAGGGCUGGCUGUACCCCAGCUUCUCAAACUGCAAAGAAACACGACCUGGAGUGAGAACAAGUGGUUCAGGGGCUGGUGUGGAAAGACCACAUGCUCCCUCUACCGGGGACCAGCAGAGGUACCUCCUGUCUCCCCACCAACCCACCCCAGGGGGCAGACCCUGCAGCCAACCCCAGGCCUGUGCCAGUAUUGAAAUGAAAUCCGCACCUUGACC